ACCAGCUGUGCAGGUUACCAACCUUCAUCCUUGGAGCUGUUAGGGCUGGCUCUGAUUUUGAAGCCCCUGUAGAACAGAAAUUCCCCUGAAUUCCCCUGCAGAGACACUGAUGUGGCCCAGCUCUGGUUCAGCUCACACAAAGUUAAGCCCACUUUGUACUUUUCUAACAAAACAUCAAAGUUCCAGAUAGUUCAGGAAAGGCUGACAUUGCCAAGUGUAAGAGAAAAUUUUGUCCCUAAGGACCAAAAAUUUGUCAUGGACAGUGCAGCAAGAGUAUGAAAAUGUUCCUGCCUGCUUUCCCUUGUACUGUGGAUGCUCCUACCUGGAUGCUUGCUCUCUCCUUGCAGAACAGUGGUAGUAGCCUGGUGAACUGCCCUUCAGCUGCCAUCCACUCUGCUCUGAGCCAAGCACCUCCUGGAAAAUCAUGCCCUGACUUGGCUCUGCCAUGUGCAUUCUUCCUGCUGACAUGUGAUGUGAUUUGACUUGGGCUCUUGGAAACCUGUAAAUCAUCUCAAGCACCAUUGGUUAAAAGGGUUCACCGUGGAGA
This is a long non-coding RNA of Passer domesticus (house sparrow), 547 nucleotides long. RefSeq lists it as uncharacterized. The record is from RefSeq and is a predicted model, not a curated record. NCBI's taxonomy places the organism in Eukaryota, Metazoa, Chordata, Aves, Passeriformes, Passeridae. The transcript is spliced from 3 exons.